RNAcentral lists this ribosomal RNA (497 nucleotides) under Candidatus Shapirobacteria bacterium. Its description in RNAcentral is "bacterial SSU rRNA". It matches the Rfam family "Bacterial small subunit ribosomal RNA", at positions 1 to 429 of the family's 1533-position model. Lineage: Bacteria; Candidatus Shapironibacteriota. The record is from RNAcentral.
AGUACUAAGAGUUUGAUCGUGGCUCAGGGUGAACGCUGGCGAUGUGCCUAAGACAUGCAAGUCGAGCGAGUCUAGUGCUUCGCACCUUGAGUUUGCAAAGCAGUUAUUAAAGAUAUUAAUAAACUUUAUAACUUAACAAACUUUCAAACUUAAAGUGCGGAGCGCUCGAUUAGCGGCGAACGGGUGAGUAAUAAGUACAGACAUACCCCUUUGUAGGACAUAGUCCGCCGAAAGGCGGGGUAAUUUCCUAUAGUUCCACCAAUAGGUGGAUAAAGACGCAAGUCGCGAAGGGAGUGGUGUACUCGCUACCAGCUUGUUGGUGAGGUAAUGGCUCACCAAGGCUAUGACGGCUACCGGCUCUUAGCGGAGGGUCCGGCACAAUGGGACUGAGACACGGCCCAUACUUCUACGGAAGGCAGCAGUUAGGAAUUUUGCGCAAUGGACGAAAGUCUGACGCAGCGACAUCGCGUGUGGGAUGACGGCCCUCGGGUUGUAAA